UGGGAGCACUCAUGAGAUGAUGUGG
This 25-nucleotide unclassified non-coding RNA is filed under the name Mus musculus (house mouse). Its description in RNAcentral is "oocyte_clustered_small_RNA11736". Lineage: Eukaryota; Metazoa; Chordata; Mammalia; Rodentia; Muridae. The record is from RNAcentral.